This 497-nucleotide ribosomal RNA is filed under the name uncultured bacterium. Its description in RNAcentral is "partial 16S ribosomal RNA". It matches the Rfam family "Bacterial small subunit ribosomal RNA", at positions 28 to 507 of the family's 1533-position model. The record is from RNAcentral.
GAUGAACGCUGGCGGCGUGCCUAAUACAUGCAAGUCGAGCGAACGGACGAGAAGCUUGCUUCUCUGAUGUUAGCGGCGGACGGGUGAGUAACACGUGGAUAACCUACCUAUAAGACUGGGAUAACUUCGGGAAACCGGAGCUAAUACCGGAUAAUAUUUUGAACCGCAUGGUUCAAAAGUGAAAGACGGUCUUGCUGUCACUUAUAGAUGGAUCCGCGCUGCAUUAGCUAGUUGGUAAGGUAACGGCUUACCAAGGCAACGAUGCAUAGCCGACCUGAGAGGGUGAUCGGCCACACUGGAACUGAGACACGGUCCAGACUCCUACGGGAGGCAGCAGUAGGGAAUCUUCCGCAAUGGGCGAAAGCCAGACGGAGCAACGCCGCGUGAGUGAUGAAGGUCUUCGGAUCGUAAAACUCUGUUAUUAGGGAAGAACAUAUGUGUAAGUAACUGUGCACAUCUUGACGGUACCUAAUCAGAAAGCCACGGCUAACUACGUG